Molecule: transfer RNA, 76 nt
Filed under: Candidatus Fermentimicrarchaeum limneticum
Lineage: Archaea; Nanobdellati; Microcaldota; Candidatus Fermentimicrarchaeales; Candidatus Fermentimicrarchaeaceae
Description: tRNA-Gly
Source: RNAcentral
GCGUUUGCCGAAAGCUCGGGUAUUAGGAUCUGAGCUUCCCAAGCUCAUUGCCCGGGUUCAAAUCCCGGCGGCCGCA